UCAUUGUAUCUUUUAAAGCUAUAUCUAAGGGAAUUCUUGUCCAAAUGGAAUAGAGAAGAUCAUAGUAGUUAAUGUCAAAUAAUUUAAUUUACUUAAAGUUGAAAAAUGUUUGCACAAAGGAAAUCUAAACAGAUAAAAUUAGAAUGGCAGCAGUUAACAGGGCAAGAGAAUUGAUAAAUGGUUAAACAUUACUAGACAUGUACCCUAAAGAAAUCAAGGAAAGAGGAAAAAGACACAUGUACAUAAUAUACUAGCUCAUCAUCAUAGCAAGAAACUAGAAACGAAAGGGAUAUCCACUUACUAAAGAAUAGCUAAAUAAAUUUUGGUAUAUGAAAGUAAUGGAAUAUAAUUUUGCCAAAUAAGUGAUGAAAUGGACAAUUUCAGAAGAAACUAAGAAAUUCUCUGUGAUCUAAUGCAGUGAAGUAAGGAGAUUUAGAAGAACAAGUUUUACAAUGUUGUUGUUGUUUCCUUUAAGUUGUGCCCAAUUAUCCAUGACUCCCUUUGAUAUUUUCUAGGAAAAGAUACUGGAGUUGUCGGUCCUUCUCCAGCUCAUUUUAUAGAUGAGGAAAUGGAGACAAACAUGGUUAAGUGACUUGCCCAGGGUCAUACAACUGUUCUGGAUGCAGAUGAUGGAGCCUUUGACUCAGAGUCUCAACUGGAUGCUGUUAUCAUUCCCACGAGGAAGUCCUGAGAAGCCAGGGUCUCAGGAUGCAUGUCCAAAAGGACUUUGGACUUGGAACUUAGUGGGACUGAUGCCAUGUAAGAACCAAGCUAAAAUAUAAACUCAAUUCUCUUUCACUUCUCCCUAGAUAUAUAGGUGGCUCAGGAGGGAUUAUACUUCUGAAAUAUUGGGAAGAUACAUUUGUUCUUAUCCCUUGAACAGGCCAGAGCCUUGCAUUCCCUUAAAAGUACUAGAGAUUUCAGUGGCAACAAGGUAGCUCAGUGGAUUGAGAACCAGGUCUAGAAAUGAGAGGUUCUGAGUUUAAAUUUGAACUUGGACAUUUUUUAACUCUGUGACCCUGGGCAAGUCAUUUAACCCCACUGCCAAGCCAUUAUUGCUUUUCUGCCUUGGAACCAAUACACAGUAUUGAUUCCAAGAUGAAGGCAAGGGUUUGAAAUAAUGUACUAGAGAUCAUGAGGAAGUAGUGAAAUGUAACACACUCAAUACUCAGUAUGUGAGUGCCAGAAACUCACUGUUAGACCUCCUUUAUCUUGACAGAGAGGAGGUAAAUAAGAAGUGUAGAAUGAGUCAUAAUAUCACUGGACAUGGCCAAUAGAUGGAUCUGUUCCGUGUGAUUGGAUGGUAUAGUGGAUAAAGUUUCAGAUUUGGAAUCAGGAAGAUCAGAGGUGAAAUCUAACCUCAGAUGCUCAAGUUACUUAAUCUCUGUUUCAUUUUUCUCAUCUAUAAAAUGAGGAUAAUAAUCGCAGCUUCCUUGAUGUUGUGAGAAUGAAUUGAGAUAAUAAUUGUGAAGUACUAUAUAAAAGCUAUUUUUAUUAUGAGGUUAAUUUUUUUUAAGGAAAGAGAAGCCCUUGUGAUAGCAAUGUUAAAAGAAAGGGAGAAAGAAGAAAAGGAGGGGGAAAGGAAGCAGCAAUAAAGAAAGAAAGGAAAGAGCA
This is a long non-coding RNA of Monodelphis domestica (gray short-tailed opossum), 1614 nucleotides long. The record is from Ensembl. NCBI's taxonomy places the organism in Eukaryota, Metazoa, Chordata, Mammalia, Didelphimorphia, Didelphidae.